This 316-nucleotide unclassified non-coding RNA is filed under the name uncultured Tomentella. RNAcentral's name for it is "sequence contains 5.8S rRNA gene". The record is from RNAcentral. Lineage: Eukaryota; Fungi; Basidiomycota; Agaricomycetes; Thelephorales; Thelephoraceae.
GAACGCACCUUGCGCCCCUUGGCUAUUCCGAGGGGCAUGCCUGUUUGAGUAUCAUGAACACCUCAACUCUCACGGUUUGCCGUGGUGAGCUUGGAUGUUGGGGGUUUUGCUGGCCUGUGGUCGGCUCCUCUCAAAUGAAUCAGCUUUCCAGUGUUUGGUGGCGCCAUGGGUGUGAUAACUAUCUACGCUUGUGACUGUCUGCCAGGUAACCUUCCGCAAUGGGGGUUUGCUGGAGCUCACAAAUGUCUCUCCUCAGUGAAGACAGCCUUUUGAACGUUCGAUCUCAAAUCAGGUAGGACUACCCGCUGAACUUAAG